RNAcentral lists this ribosomal RNA (253 nucleotides) under uncultured bacterium. RNAcentral's name for it is "partial 16S ribosomal RNA". It matches the Rfam family "Bacterial small subunit ribosomal RNA", at positions 524 to 776 of the family's 1533-position model. The record is from RNAcentral.
UACGGGGGGGGCAAGCGUUGUUCGGAAUUACUGGGCGUAAAGGGCUCGUAGGUGGCCAACUAAGUCAGACGUGAAAUCCCUCGGCUUAACCGGGGAACUGCGUCUGAUACUGGAUGGCUUGAGUUCGGGAGAGGGAUGCAGAAUUCCAGGUGUAGCGGUGAAAUGCGUAGAUAUCUGGAGGAAUACCGGUGGCGAAGGCGGCAUCCUGGACCGACAUUGACGCUGAACGGCGAAAGCUAGGGGAGCAAACGGG